This 253-nucleotide ribosomal RNA is filed under the name uncultured bacterium. RNAcentral describes it as "partial 16S ribosomal RNA". It matches the Rfam family "Bacterial small subunit ribosomal RNA", at positions 524 to 776 of the family's 1533-position model. The record is from RNAcentral.
UACGUAGGGUGCAAGCGUUAAUCGGAAUUACUGGGCGUAAAGCGUGCGCAGGCGGCUAUGCAAGACAGAUGUGAAAUCCCCGGGCUCAACCUGGGAACUGCAUUUGUGACUGCAUGGCUAGAGUACGGUAGAGGGGGAUGGAAUUCCGCGUGUAGCAGUGAAAUGCGUAGAUAUGCGGAGGAACACCGAUGGCGAAGGCAAUCCCCUGGGAUAACACUGACGCUCAUGCACGAAAGCGUGGGGAGCAAACAGG